Molecule: transfer RNA, 82 nt
Filed under: Medicago sativa (alfalfa)
Lineage: Eukaryota; Viridiplantae; Streptophyta; Magnoliopsida; Fabales; Fabaceae
Also listed under: 1 other name
Description: tRNA-Ile
Rfam family: tRNA
About the family: Transfer RNA (tRNA) molecules are approximately 80 nucleotides in length. Their secondary structure includes four short double-helical elements and three loops (D, anti-codon, and T loops). Further hydrogen bonds mediate the characteristic L-shaped molecular structure. tRNAs have two regions of fundamental functional importance: the anti-codon, which is responsible for specific mRNA codon recognition, and the 3' end, to which the tRNAs corresponding amino acid is attached (by aminoacyl-tRNA synthetases). tRNAs cope with the degeneracy of the genetic code in two manners: having more than one tRNA (with a specific anti-codon) for a particular amino acid; and 'wobble' base-pairing, i.e. permitting non-standard base-pairing at the 3rd anti-codon position.
Source: RNAcentral
GGGCUUAUAGUUUAAUUGGUUGAAACGUACCGCUCAUAACGGUAAUAUUGUAGGUUCGAGCCCUACUAAGCCUAGCACCCCC